Molecule: ribosomal RNA, 497 nt
Filed under: uncultured bacterium
Lineage: Bacteria
Description: partial 16S ribosomal RNA
Rfam family: Bacterial small subunit ribosomal RNA
Source: RNAcentral
GAUGAACGCUGGCGGCGUGCCUAAUACAUGCAAGUCGAGCGAACAGAUGAGGAGCUUGCUCCUCUGACGUUAGCGGCGGACGGGUGAGUAACACGUGGAUAACCUCCCCAUCAGACUGGGAUAACUUCGGGAAACCGGAGCUAAUACCGGAUAAUAUAUUGCACCGCAUGGUUCAAUAGUGAAAGUCGGUUUUGCUGUCACUUCUAGAUGGAUCGGGGCCGCAUUAGCUAGUCGGUAGGGUAACGGCUUACCAAGGCUACGAUGCGUAGCCGACCGGAGAGGGUGAUCGGCGACACUGGAACGGAGACACGGUCCAGACUCCUACGGGAGGCAGCAGUAGGGAAUCUUCCGCAAUGGGCGAAAGCCUGACAGAGCAACGCGGCGUGAGUGAUGAAGGUCUUCGGAUCGUAAAGCUCUGUUAUGAGGGAAGAACAAAUGUGUAAGUAACUGUGCACGUCUUGACGGUACCUGAUCAGAAAGCCACGGCUAACUACGUG